This 458-nucleotide ribosomal RNA is filed under the name uncultured bacterium. Its description in RNAcentral is "bacterial SSU rRNA". It matches the Rfam family "Bacterial small subunit ribosomal RNA", at positions 28 to 496 of the family's 1533-position model. The record is from RNAcentral.
GAUGAACGCUGGCGGCGCGCUUAAGACAUGCAAGUCGAACGGAACUUAGUUGAAUGUUUACAUGAUACGAAAGUUUAGUGGCGGACGGGUGAGUAACACGUGAGCAACCUGCCUUAGAGAAUGGGACAACAGAGGGAAACUUCUGCUAAUACCGUAUAUGACCACAGUACCGCAUGGUACAGGGGUGAAAGGAGCAAUCCGCUCUAAGAUGGGCUCGCGGCUGAUUAGCUAGUUGGUGAGAUAACGGCCCACCAAGGCGACGAUCAGUAGCCGAACUGAGAGGUUGAUCGGCCACAUUGGGACUGAGACACGGCCCAAACUCCUACGGAGGCAGCAGUGGGAAUAUUGCACAAUGGGGGAAACCCUGAUGCAGCGACGCCGCGUGAGUGAAGAGUAUUCGGUAUGUAAAGCUCUAUCCAGCAGGGAAGAAAUGACGGUACCUGACUAAGAAGCCCCGG